Molecule: ribosomal RNA, 486 nt
Filed under: uncultured bacterium
Lineage: Bacteria
Description: partial 16S ribosomal RNA
Rfam family: Bacterial small subunit ribosomal RNA
Source: RNAcentral
ACUCAAAUGAAUAGACGGGGACUCACACAAGCGGUGGACCAUGUGGCUUAAUUCGACAACAAACGAAGAACCUUACCAGGACUAGAAACCCAUACGAAAUCCAGAUGAAAGUUUGGACCUCGCAAGACGUAUGGGCAGGUGCUGCAUGGUUGUCGUCAGUUCGUGUCUUGAGACGUACCGUUAAUUCGGGUAACGAACGCAACCCUUGCUCUGUGUUUUACAUGUCACAGAGGACUGCCCGAGAUAAUUGGGAGGAAGGUGAGGAUGACGCCAAAUCAGCAUGGCCCUUGAUGUCCUGGGCUGCACACGUGGUACAAUGGCAAGUACAAUGGGAAGCAAAGCCGUAAGGCGAAGCUAAUCUCACCAAAGCUUGCCUCAGUUCGGAUUGAGGGCUGAAACUCGCCCUCAUGAAGCUGGAAUCGCUAGUAAUCGCCAAUCAGCUACGUGGCGAUGAAUACGUUCCUGAGUCUUGUACACACCGCCCGU